GUGAAAAGAGGACAGGAGAUACAAAAGAGAAGAGGAACUGAAGAAGAGAGGAAAAUUAAAGAAAAAAGAAGACUCUACACGUCUGAAGGCACUUGACAAAGGCCAGAUCCAGGAGACUAGCCAUGGAGGGGGAUUACAUGAAACCACCACCGUCUUAUGAAGAAGUUAUUACCCAGCAGCACACGAGCAACACUAGUCAGAGCCGCUCUGCUGAUAACAGGCAGGGCUGCUGCUGCAGGUGCUGUAUUAGCACCAAGAACUGUCUGAUGAGUCCAGAGUGCGGUCGAGCUCUUAGCAUCGCCAACGUGAUUGCCAUGUGUGGCAUGUGCAUCCGAAUGUUCGUCUAACACAGUCUCCUGUGGACCAUCUAUUCCAGUUCUCUCAUCCAGUGGUGGCCUUCUCAAAUUAAAAGGGAUACAAAGACAUUUGCUCUGUUCCAAAACCUAGUGAUCUGCAACAUUUAUAAGUUCUCCCACAAUACGAAUCCCAAUGCUGUGCCAAAAACAAUGCAGCACUGCAUGUAUCAUUCAGGUAAUGCUAACUGACUAAAAUUUCACCUUUACAAUAUGUGUUUCCUUUUUGGAAGACAAUAGCAGACAACAUAGUUAAACAGUUUUACCAAGAUUUUCUUUCAUUCAAAUUGCCUAUAUUAAUAUAGAGCUUUAUACAAUACAAAAUAGAAAAGAAACAGAAUCAGUGAUGCAAACCUCAUCAGAUAUGAGGAGACCCAAAUUCAGCUGUAAAGCAGCUCUAAAAAGACAUUUCUAAAAUAGUUGCAGUCAUUUGGAAAUGAAAAGUUGUAUUUUAUUGUUUUCAUAAAUUGGAGCCAGUCAUGUUAUUAGAUGUGGCAUCUGCCUUAAUUAUUUAUCAGGGUAUCAAAACUUUGCAUUUAUCAUUAACAUUUCUUCUAAACCUUCUUGUGUGAAAAUGUAAUUUAUGAUACAGAAUUAUUUUUUAAAUGAUGUGCACUAGACCGACAGGUCAAUAAAUCACCAUGCUAGAUUAUUUUCCCAAUUGUGGUGGAUUGUUUUCCUUUAAGACUGUAAAAUAUUAAACCUGUAGACUGAGAUUGUGUAAAUAUGGAUCUUCUACACUGUGGAAUAUAAAGCCAUCUGUCUUAUAGCCAGUACACACACACAAAAAUAAAAAUAAAAUCCUUUACAUUAAUACAGCUCCCGUGUUUUGUCUUCAGGAGUAAAUAUUUAUCCAGUUAAAAACUCUACACUCAAAUAUGUAAAAUAAUAAAAAUGUCGGGCAUUUGCAGAUGAGGAUGAAUAGGAGUCUUUAUUUUGUGUCAUUUUAAUUAGUAUUUGCAUCAUAAUCCGAUGAUAAACUGUCCCAGAAAAAAAAGUGUUUUUACUAUUUUUUAAUCAUUAAGAGAGAAUAAUUUAUGAUGGCCAUUUGGGAUUAAGAUGACAUGAUUAGUGCGCUAACAUGUUUUUUAUCUCCUAACUAUACCCUGACUAUUUGCUGUGUCAAGAAUCACAGGUCAAGCAUUUCUCCGGGACUCUCUGACUGCUCUCGCUCACUGGCCCAUUUUUCAACGCUCGAGAAACAAUACAAGAUUUAAUCAUUCUGAAGGAUCCAAGUAGAGUGUUUUAGUCCAUGUUCACAAGACUGGAAUCAGAAUCCAUCAGGGUAAUGAAGGGAAUCCAAUACCAUAAUCAAAAUACACAGGCAGUGAACAAGAGAACAAAUCCUAGGUACAAACCACUCCGAGUGAAAUACACACAAGAGCCAUGAACAAAAAGAGCAAGAACAAAAAUAACAGAUUGUUUUAUAUAUGCUAAACAAAGCAAUGCACAUAUGGAGUGAAACAGUAGCUUAAUUAAUAUUAAUAUUCAUGCAGUACAUUAAUAUCCAUGCAGUACAUACUGUAUAUGUAGGAUGUGAGACAGAAGAUUUUAAACACGUAUUGUUUUGAUAUAGCCAUGAUGAGGCAGAGCAACAUCUAUACUCAGAAAUUACCAUUUCUUAGCUUUAUACACUUGAGCUCAUCUAAGAGAAGCAAAAAUAAUGAUCAACUGAUUUUUAUUUGUUUUGGAUUUGUUACUGCCCAUGUCAGAUAUCAGCUCUUUAAUGAAUUCUUUACUUUCACUCUCAGUAUGUGAUAUUUGAUUCUCUCUGUCCAGCAGUGGUGAAGCAGAAGGUGAUUCUGCUGCUGUUCUUAACAUAGUCAUGAGCUGUCAAUCACUGCAUCUAUUCCCAAUCAGGCAGUAUUGGGCAACACACAAGUUCACUGGAAAGUUGAAAAAGUGCACGCACAAGAUCUAUGAAUUUCAAUUGCUAAUAUAUUAUUUCUCGAUGCAACAGCCAGUGGUGGAUAUUGAUUUCAAGAUGGAGUCUCAGCAGAUCAGUGCAUAUGAAUGUGGUGUGACUAGGCUGGAUUGAUAUUCUUCUAUACAGUCUUACAUUCUUUAAGGGAAGUUGUGGCCUAGUGGUUAGAGAGUUUGACUCCUAACCCUAGGGUUGUAGGUUCGAUACCAUGACUGAGGUGCCCUUGAGCAAGGCACCGAACCCCCAACUGCUCCCCGGGCGCCGCAGCAUAAAUGGCUGCCCGCUGCUCCGGGUGUGUGUUCACAGUGUGUGUUUGUGUUCACUGCUGUGUGUGUGUGUGCACUUUUGAUGGGUUAAAUGCAGAGUAUGAAUUCUGAGUAUGGGACACCAUACUUGGCUGAAUGUCACGUCACUUUAACUUUUCACUUUUUUGAAGCCCUGGAUGACGUCAAACAACUCCCCUUGUGAUACUUUUAAAAAAUGUGGCUGUACUUUAAUACUGUGCCAUCAAAAUGUAUUUGGACACUUAAAAUGUAUGAAAGACAUUGAUUUGAAUCAGGAGCGCGUCUAGACCUGCCGACAUUUUCUACAGUGAUGUACUGUGACCCAGCUAAAUUGUUCCAUGUAAAUUAAGCUCUGAACCUUUUUUUUUUUAAACUGUUGUAUUUGCUCAAAAUAGGCUGGCACAUUUGACAUUUCUAUUUAUUAUAAACAUCAUUCUUUAAUUAUUCACUAUUGUGAAUACCAUAUUGUCUUCUGGAGUCAAUAAAGCAUAAAUUAAAAGUAUUUUUGCUUUAAUAACUUAAAUUGGUGUAAAACAAAG
Molecule: long non-coding RNA, 3100 nt
Organism: Carassius auratus (goldfish)
Lineage: Eukaryota; Metazoa; Chordata; Actinopteri; Cypriniformes; Cyprinidae
Source: Ensembl